UUUUUUUCCUUAGUUUUUACUUUUUUUGAUUUUAUUUUAAAUUUUUUAUUUUUGUUUUUGUAAAAAGUUUUGAUUUUUUUUUGUUUUUUUUAAGAAUAUAAGAUUUUUUUUUUUGAACUGGAUUAGUACCCAGGUAAUGAAAAGUUAUUAAUUCGGGAGUAAAUUUGUAUUUAAACCGAAAAAUUAUUGACUGACUUUAAAUUUUUUUUUGGAAUAUGUAAUUUUGGGAUAGUCCUCCUUUUUAGAUUUUAUUUUUUAUACAUGUAUGAUUGUUGUAUUUUUAUAUUUUGUGUUUUUUUUUGUUGUUUUAGGCAGAUAUAUAUUUGGUUUAUGUGAAGUUUUAUUAUGUGUUACUAUUUUUAGUAUUUUGGAUAGGGUUUUAAAAUUCUUUUGAAAUGGAAAAAAAAAGAAAGGUCUUUUUAUGGGAAAAAAAAU
Molecule: ribosomal RNA, 435 nt
Filed under: Gongylonema neoplasticum
Lineage: Eukaryota; Metazoa; Nematoda; Chromadorea; Rhabditida; Gongylonematidae
Description: partial small subunit ribosomal RNA
Source: RNAcentral